This 496-nucleotide ribosomal RNA is filed under the name uncultured bacterium. Its description in RNAcentral is "partial 16S ribosomal RNA". It matches the Rfam family "Bacterial small subunit ribosomal RNA", at positions 28 to 507 of the family's 1533-position model. The record is from RNAcentral.
GAUGAACGCUGGCGGCGUGCCUAAUACAUGCAAGCCGAGCGAACAGAUGAGGAGCUUGCUCCUCUGACGUUAGCGGCGGACGGGUGAGUAACACGUGGAUAACCUACCUAUAAGACUGGGAUAACUUCGGGAAACCGGAGCUAAUACCGGAUAAUAUAUUGAACCGCAUGGUUCAAUAGUGAAAGACGGUUUUGCUGUCACUUAUAGAUGGAUCCGCGCCGCAUUAGCUAGUUGGUAAGGUAACGGCUUACCAAGGCAACGAUGCGUAGCCGACCUGAGAGGGUGAUCGGCCACACUGGAACUGAGACACGGUCCAGACUCCUACGGGAGGCAGCAGGAGGGAAUCUUCCGCAAUGGGCGAAAGCCUGACGGAGCAACGCCGCGUGAGUGAUGAAGGUCUGCGGAUCGUAAAACUCUGUAUUAGGGAAGAACAAAUGUGUAAGUAACUAUGCACGUCUUGACGGUACCUAAUCAGAAAGCCACGGCUAACUACGUG